RNAcentral lists this ribosomal RNA (497 nucleotides) under uncultured bacterium. RNAcentral's name for it is "partial 16S ribosomal RNA". It matches the Rfam family "Bacterial small subunit ribosomal RNA", at positions 28 to 507 of the family's 1533-position model. The record is from RNAcentral.
GAUGAACGCUGGCGGCGUGCCUAAUACAUGCAAGUCGAGCGAACGGACGAGAAGCUUGCUUCUCUGAUGUUAGCGGCGGACGGGUGAGUAACACGUGGAUAACCUACCUAUAAGACUGGGAUAACUUCGGGAAACCGGAGCUAAUACCGGAUAAUAUUUUGAACCGCAUGGUUCAAAAGUGAAAGACGUUCUUGCUGUCACUUAUAGAUGGAUCCGCGCUGCAUUAGCUAGUUGGUAAGGUAACGGCUUACCAAGGCAACGAUGCAUAGCCGACCUGAGAGGGUGAUCGGCCACACUGGAACUGAGACACGGACCAGACUCCUACGGGAGGCAGCAGUAGGGAAUCGUCCGCAAUGGGCGAAAGCCUGACGGAGCAACGCCGCGUGAGUGAUGAAGGUCUUCGGAUCGUAAAACUCUGUUAUUAGGGAAGAACAUAUGUGUAAGUAACUGUGCACAUCUUGACGGUACCUAAUCAGAAAGCAACGGCUAACUACGUG